AGCAGCCGCGGUAAUUCCAGCUCCAAUAGCGUAUAUUAAAGUUGUUGCAGUUAAAAAGCUCGUAGUUGAAUUUCGGGAUUGACACAUCGGUCGUGCCUUAAGGGGUAUGAACUGGUGUAGUCAAUUUCUCACCUUCUGGAGAACCGCGAUGCCCUUAAUUGGGUGUCGCGGGGAACCAGGACCUUUACUUUGAAAAAAUUAGAGUGUUUAAAGCAGGCAUUUUGCUUGAAUACAUUAGCAUGGAAUAAUAAAAUAGGACGGCAUGAUUCUAUUUUGUUGGUUUCUAGGAUCACCGUAAUGAUUAAUAGGGAUAGUUGGGGGCAUUAGUAUUCAAUUGUCAGAGGUGAAAUUCUUGGAUUUAUUGAAGACUAACUACUGCGAAAGCAUUUGCCAAGGAUGUUUUCAUUAAUCAAGAACGAAAGUUAGGGGAUCGAAGACGAUCAGAUACCGUCGUAGUCUUAACCAUAAACUAUGCCGACUAGGAAUCAGACGAUGUUAAUUUUUAAUGUACUCGU
RNAcentral lists this ribosomal RNA (515 nucleotides) under uncultured Entrophospora. RNAcentral's name for it is "SSU rRNA". It matches the Rfam family "Eukaryotic small subunit ribosomal RNA", at positions 569 to 1079 of the family's 1831-position model. The record is from RNAcentral. Lineage: Eukaryota; Fungi; Glomeromycota; Glomeromycetes; Entrophosporales; Entrophosporaceae.